CCUACGGAGGCAGCAGUGGGGAAUAUUGGACAAUGGGCGAAAGCCUGAUCCAGCCAUGCCGCGUGUGUGAAGAAGGCCUUCGGGUUGUAAAGCACUUUCAGUGGGGAAGAAAGCCUUGGGGCUAAUACCCUCGAGGAAGGACAUCACCCACAGAAGAAGCACCGGCUAACUCCGUGCCAGCAGCCGCGGUAAUACGGAGGGUGCGAGCGUUAAUCGGAAUUACUGGGCGUAAAGCGCGCGUAGGCGGUCUGAUAAGCCGGUUGUGAAAGCCCCGGGCUCAACCUGGGAACGGCAUCCGGAACUGUCAGGCUAGAGUGCAGGAGAGGAAGGUAGAAUUCCCGGUGUAGCGGUGAAAUGCGUAGAGAUCGGGAGGAAUACCAGUGGCGAAGGCGGCCUUCUGGACUGACACUGACGCUGAGGUGCGAAAGCGUGGGUAGCAAACAGGAUUAGAUACCCGGGUAGUC
RNAcentral lists this ribosomal RNA (464 nucleotides) under Vreelandella stevensii. RNAcentral describes it as "partial 16S ribosomal RNA". It matches the Rfam family "Bacterial small subunit ribosomal RNA", at positions 338 to 795 of the family's 1533-position model. The record is from RNAcentral. Lineage: Bacteria; Pseudomonadati; Pseudomonadota; Gammaproteobacteria; Oceanospirillales; Halomonadaceae.